RNAcentral lists this ribosomal RNA (405 nucleotides) under uncultured bacterium. RNAcentral's name for it is "partial 16S ribosomal RNA". It matches the Rfam family "Bacterial small subunit ribosomal RNA", at positions 28 to 526 of the family's 1533-position model. The record is from RNAcentral.
GACGAACGCUGGUGGCGUGCUUAACACAUGCAAGUCGAGCGGAGCGGCGAACGGGUGAGUAACGCGUGAGUAACUGGCCCCCUCUCUGGGAUAACAGUUGGAAACGGCUGCUAAUACCGGAUAGUGGGGGAUGACUCGCGUCCUAUCAGCUUGUUGGUGGGGUAGUGGCCUACCAAGGCGACGAGGGGUAGCCGGCCUGACAGGGCGUGCGGCCACAUUGGGCUGGGCUACGGCCCUAACUCCUCCGGGAGGCAGCAGUGGGGAAUAUUGCACGAUGGGGGCAACCCUGAUGCAGCAACGCCGCGUGCGGGAUGACGGCCUUCGUGUUGUAAACCGCUUUCAGCCAUGACGCGUUAGUGGCAGAAGAAGCACCGGCUAACUACGUGCCAGCAGCCGCGGUAAUUC